Molecule: ribosomal RNA, 558 nt
Filed under: Penicillium chrysogenum
Lineage: Eukaryota; Fungi; Ascomycota; Eurotiomycetes; Eurotiales; Aspergillaceae
Description: eukaryotic LSU rRNA
Rfam family: 5.8S ribosomal RNA (bases 192-344)
Source: RNAcentral
CUGCGGAGGAUCAUUACCGAGUGAGGGCCCUCUGGGUCCAACCUCCCACCCGUGUUUAACCACCUUGUUGCUUCGGCGGGCCCGCCUUAACUGGCCGCCGGGGGGCUUACGCCCCCGGGCCCGCGCCCGCCGAAGACACCCUCGAACUCUGUCUGAAGAUUGUAGUCUGAGUGAAAAUAUAAAUUAUUUAAAACUUUCAACAACGGAUCUCUUGGUUCCGGCAUCGAUGAAGAACGCAGCGAAAUGCGAUACGUAAUGUGAAUUGCAAAUUCAGUGAAUCAUCGAGUCUUUGAACGCACAUUGCGCCCCCUGGUAUUCCGGGGGGCAUGCCUGUCCGAGCGUCAUUUCUGCCCUCAAGCACGGCUUGUGUGUUGGGCCCCGUCCUCCGAUCCCGGGGGACGGGCCCGAAAGGCAGCGGCGGCACCGCGUCCGGUCCUCGAGCGUAUGGGGCUUUGUCACCCGCUCUGUAGGCCCGGCCGGCGCUUGCCGAUCAACCCAAAUUUUUAUCCAGGUUGACCUCGGAUCAGGUAGGGAUACCCGCUGAACUUAAGCAUAUCA